This 250-nucleotide ribosomal RNA is filed under the name uncultured bacterium. RNAcentral's name for it is "partial 16S ribosomal RNA". It matches the Rfam family "Bacterial small subunit ribosomal RNA", at positions 524 to 774 of the family's 1533-position model. The record is from RNAcentral.
UACGUAGGGGGCUAGCGUUAUCCGGAAUUACUGGGCGUAAAGGGUGCGUAGGUGGUUUCUUAAGUCAGAAGUGAAAGGCUACGGCUCAACCGUAGUAAGCUUUUGAAACUGAGAAACUUGAGUGCAGAAGAGGAAAGCGGUAUUCCACGUGUAGCGGUGAAAUGCGUAGAUAUUAGGAGGAAUACCAGUUGCGAAGGCGGCUCUCUGGACUGUAACUGACACUGAGGCACGAAAGCGUGGGGAGCAAACA